Molecule: ribosomal RNA, 253 nt
Filed under: uncultured bacterium
Lineage: Bacteria
Description: partial 16S ribosomal RNA
Rfam family: Bacterial small subunit ribosomal RNA
Source: RNAcentral
UACGUAGGGCGCAAGCGUUGUCCGGAAUCAUUGGGCGUAAAGAGCGUGUAGGCGGUCCGAUAAGUCCGCUCUGAAAGCCCGGGGCUCAACCCCGGGAGGCGGGCGGAUACUGUCGGGCUAGAGUCCGGAAGAGGCAAGUGGAAUUCCUGGUGUAGCGGUGAAAUGCGCAGAUAUCAGGAGGAACACCGAUGGCGAAGGCAGCACUCUGGGACGGUACUGACGCUGAGACGCGAAAGCGUGGGGAGCAAACAGG